UACGGAGGGUGCAAGUGUUAUUCGGAAUCACUGGGCGUAAAGAGCACGUAGGCGGAUAGGCAAGUCAGAUGUGAAAUCCCGGAGCUCAACUCCGGAACUGCAUUUGAUACUGCCUGUCUUGAGUGAGGUAGAGGGGAGUGGAAUUCCCGGUGUAGAGGUGAAAUUCGUAGAUAUCGGGAGGAACACCGAUGGCGAAGGCAGGUCUCUGGGCCACUACUGACGCUGAGAAGCGAAAGCAUGGGGAGCGAACAGGAUUAGA
RNAcentral lists this ribosomal RNA (259 nucleotides) under uncultured prokaryote. Its description in RNAcentral is "partial 16S ribosomal RNA". It matches the Rfam family "Bacterial small subunit ribosomal RNA", at positions 524 to 782 of the family's 1533-position model. The record is from RNAcentral.